Molecule: ribosomal RNA, 511 nt
Filed under: Tetracladium furcatum
Lineage: Eukaryota; Fungi; Ascomycota; Leotiomycetes; Helotiales
Description: eukaryotic LSU rRNA
Rfam family: 5.8S ribosomal RNA (bases 165-318)
Source: RNAcentral
UUACCGAGUUCAUGCCCUUACGGGUAGAUCUCCCACCCUUUGUAUACUAUACCUUUGUUGCUUUGGCGGGCCGCCUAGCUACUGGCUUCGGCUGGUAUGUGCCCGCCAGAGGACCCAAAACCCUGAAUUAUUAGUGUCGUCUGAGUAAAAUAUUUAAUAUUUAAAACUUUCAACAACGGAUCUCUUGGCUCUGGCAUCGAUGAAGAACGCAGCGAAAUGCGAUAAGUAAUGUGAAUUGCAGAAUUCAGUGAAUCAUCGAAUCUUUGAACGCACAUUGCGCCCCUUGGUAUUCCGAGGGGCAUGCCUAUUCGAGCGUCAUUAUCACCCCUCAAGCCUAGCUUGGUGUUGAGGCCUGCUGUCAAGGCAGCCUCUAAAAUCAGUGGCAGUGCUGUCAGGCUCUAAGCGUAGUAAAUCUAAUCGCUAUAGACACCUGGUGGACACUCGCCAGAACCCCCCCAUUUUUUAAUGAUUGACCUCGGAUUAGGUAGGGAUACCCGCUGAACUUAAGCAU